Molecule: long non-coding RNA, 346 nt
Organism: Morone saxatilis (striped sea-bass)
Lineage: Eukaryota; Metazoa; Chordata; Actinopteri; Moronidae
Exons: 5
Source: RefSeq, a predicted model, not a curated record
GGGGAUCGAGGACUGAGGGGUGCAUCUGGACCUCCAGGAGAUAACGGCAUUGGGUUCCCUGGUCCCAAGGGUGACAAGGGGAACCAAGGAAGACCAGGGCCCCCUGGACCAGUGGGUAGGGGUGAACCAGGGACACCGGGUCCGGCAGGGCCAACAGAGAUGCAAGGAUCUCCAGGGUUUCCAGGUGAGGGUCUCCAAGGACCCAAGGGUGACAGGGGGUAUGAGGGUCCCAAGGGUGGCCGUGGACCUCCAGGAAUUGGGUACAAAGGUGAUAAGGGAAACACAGGAGAUCCCGGGCUGCCAGGUUUGGUGGGGUUUCCAGGGGCAGGCAUCCAAGGAGAAAAGG